GGUCUAAUAGUGUAGAGGUUAUCACACGGGAUUUUGAUAGCUCCUCCAUUUCCCGUAACCCAGGUUCGAGUCCUGGUUAGACCU
Molecule: transfer RNA, 84 nt
Filed under: Lentinula detonsa
Lineage: Eukaryota; Fungi; Basidiomycota; Agaricomycetes; Agaricales; Omphalotaceae
Description: tRNA-Gln
Rfam family: tRNA
About the family: Transfer RNA (tRNA) molecules are approximately 80 nucleotides in length. Their secondary structure includes four short double-helical elements and three loops (D, anti-codon, and T loops).
Source: RNAcentral